UGGCUCAGAACGAACGCUGGCGGCGCGUCUUAAGCAUGCAAGUCGAACGGCAAGAGGUAGCAAUACCUCCUAGAGUGGCGGACUGGUGAGUAACACGUGGGUGACAUACCCUUCAGAUGGGGAUAGCUAUUAGAAAUAGUAGAUAAUACCGAAUACGAGCACAGGGUUAGAGAUCUGUGAGGAAAGGAGCUAAGGCUCCGCUGAAGGAAUGGCCUGCGGCCCAUUAGCUAGUUGGUGAGGUAAGAGCCCACCAAGGCGAUGAUGGGUAUCCGGCCUUAGAGGGUGAACGGACACAUUGGGACUGAGAUACGGCCCAGACUCCUACGGGAGGCAGCAGCUAAGAAUAUUCCGCAAUGGACGAAAGUCUGACGGAGCGACGCCGCCGUGGAUGAAGAAGGCCGGAAGGUUGUAAAAUCCUUUUGAAACUGAAGAAUAAGCGUUGUAGGGAAUGACAGCGUGGUGACAGUAGGUUUUGAAUAAGCAACGGCUAAUUACGUGCCAGCCGCCGC
This 509-nucleotide ribosomal RNA is filed under the name uncultured bacterium. RNAcentral describes it as "bacterial SSU rRNA". It matches the Rfam family "Bacterial small subunit ribosomal RNA", at positions 20 to 518 of the family's 1533-position model. The record is from RNAcentral.